CGAGCCGCGCCGCGGAACUAACUCGCCGCCGCCGCCCUUCAGCGACUGGGGCCGCCUGGAGGCGGCCAUCCUCAGCGGCUGGAAGACCUUCUGGCAGUCAGUGAGCAAGGAGAGAGUGGCGCGUACGACCUCGCGGGAGGAGGUGGAUGAGGCGGCCAGCACCCUGACGCGGCUGCCGCUAUAGAAUGUGCUGUCCAUAUACAAGAAGAGCUUCAAAAUCCAGCCGUCCUAUGUAUGGAGCUGUCACUUCUUUUUUACACUCGCUGAUCAUUCAGAAUGAACCACGAUUUGCUAUGUUUGGACCAGGUUUGGAAGAAUUGAAUACCUCUUUGGUGUUGAGCUUGAUGUCUUCAGAGGAACUUUGCCCAACAGCUGGUUUGCCUCAGAGGCAGAUUGAUGGUAAUUUUCAUGUUAAUCUACAGUUAAUUCAAACACUUUGAGCUUGACAUUCUUGUUAAAAAGAAAGAAAUUCAUUUUAAAUUAAUUAUUUGCUAUAAUGAAGUAUAGUACUUUGGUUGUUGGGAGCCCUACCAGGUUCCACUGAACUGACAGAAUUAAUUUACUUACUGUAAGAAAGCUUCCUCUUAAUUCCUCAAAUUUGUACAAUCCAGCCUUUAAGAUUAUGUGAAAAUAAAUU
This 637-nucleotide small RNA is filed under the name Pan troglodytes (chimpanzee). RNAcentral describes it as "retained intron". The record is from RNAcentral. Lineage: Eukaryota; Metazoa; Chordata; Mammalia; Primates; Hominidae.